AACUGCGAGUGAAGCGGGAAAAGCUCAAAUUUAAAAUCUGGCGGUCCUUGGCCGUCCGAGUUGUAAUUUAGAGAAGCGUCUUCCGCGCCGGACCGUGCACAAGUCUCCUGGAAUGGAGCGUCGUAGAGGGUGAGAAUCCCGUCUUUGGCAUGGACACCCGGUGCUUCUGUGAUGCGCUCUCGAAGAGUCGAGUUGUUUGGGAAUGCAGCUCAAAAUGGGUGGUGAACUCCAUCUAAAGCUAAAUAUUGGCGAGAGACCGAUAGCGAACAAGUACCGUGAGGGAAAGAUGAAAAGCACUUUGGAAAGAGAGUGAAACAGUACGUGAAAUUGUUGAAAGGGAAACGCUUGAAGUCAGUCGCGUCGACCGAGACUCAGCCUUGCCUUGGCUUGGUGUACUUCUCGGCUUGACGGGUCAGCGUCGAUUUUGCCCCUCGGAUAAUGGCAAGGGAAAGGUGGCACCUUUGCGGGUGUGUUAUAGUCUCCUGUCGCAUGUGAGGGGUGAGAUCGAGGAACUCAGUGCGCGCCUCUGGCGUCGGGGCUUUKU
This 544-nucleotide ribosomal RNA is filed under the name Lactarius alboroseus. RNAcentral describes it as "LSU rRNA". It matches the Rfam family "Eukaryotic large subunit ribosomal RNA", at positions 85 to 631 of the family's 3401-position model. The record is from RNAcentral. Lineage: Eukaryota; Fungi; Basidiomycota; Agaricomycetes; Russulales; Russulaceae.